This 526-nucleotide ribosomal RNA is filed under the name uncultured bacterium. Its description in RNAcentral is "bacterial SSU rRNA". It matches the Rfam family "Bacterial small subunit ribosomal RNA", at positions 19 to 518 of the family's 1533-position model. The record is from RNAcentral.
AUGGCUCAGGACGAACGCUGGCGGCGUGCCUAAUACAUGCAAGUCGAACGGUCUUUCUAUGGAAGCUUGCUUCCACUGAGAAGAUAGUGGCGAACGGGUGAGUAACACGUGGGUAACCUGCCCAUAAGAGGGGGAUAACAUCCGGAAACGGGUGCUAAUACCGCAUAGUUUUCUUGAUCGCAUGAUCGGGAAAGGAAAGACGGCCUUUGUGCUGUCGCUUAUGGAUGGACCCGCGGCGUAUUAGUUAGUUGGUGAGGUAACGGCUCACCAAGACGAUGAUACGUAGCCGACCUGAGAGGGUGAUCGGCCACAUUGGGACUGAGACACGGCCCAAACUCCUACGGGAGGCAGCAGUAGGGAAUCUUCCGCAAUGGACGAAAGUCUGACGGAGCAACGCCGCGUGAGUGAAGAAAGGUUUUCGGAUCGUAAAACUCUGUUGUCAGAGAAGAACAAGUUGGAGAGUAACUGCUCCAGCCUUGACGGUAUCUGACCAGAAAGCCACGGCUAACUACGUGCCAGCAGCGGC